ACUCAGCAGUAAAUACCUUCAGGUCAUUUGUCAUACGCACCUGCUAGCCAGCAUCGACAAUUACGGUGCAGUAAUAACGAGUUCUGGGUUUAAAUACUCUCGCGCACCAUUCUCCAGCAUUCGGCAGUAGGUGCGUGCUCUGAGACAGCUUUUUUAUCCUUUGUUUCAUUCUCCACAAUUAUUGUUACAGCCUUCAAAAAUAAUGCAAUACCAAGUGAGUGCAGUAAAAUUUCAUGUGUACUUCACUGCAAUACUCCUAAUUUUCAUUUGCAAGUCUGCAGGAAAGCUACAUGCUAAUGUUGAAGUUGCUGAAAGAACUGAGUCCAAGGAUGCUCAAGUAUCGUCAACAGGGGGGGGAACCAUGGACUGCAUUGGUAAAGAUGGCGAGCCAACUAAUGAAGGAAUGCUAUGUUCAUUAGUGGUCGUGCUAGAAGGAAGAAAAGCCGAUGUUGAAGCUACGUGUUUGACCGGCGCCUGCAAGAAUGGUACUUGCACAAAUAUUAAUAAAACAGACUGCACCAACGUCUCAUGAAGAAGAAAAGAGUAAACAAGAUGCAGUAUAAUGGAAAGCAUCGUUUACAAAUAGAGUGACAUCCGGAAUGUGGUUCGGUUUCGCUAAAAUGUUUGUUUAAUAACUUCUGAAAAAAAUUUUGUCUUUGCAGGCCACAUAUUAUUUCAACCACACCACCCCCCUUACUUGUAACAUUUCCUAUAAUAAAGAUACCGUUUCUGAUGGAUUCUGCAUGCGGCCAUUUUAAACAGGCAACACACGGAGAAGGUUAUCCUUGUGCAGAGUAUACC
Dermacentor andersoni is the source of this 801-nucleotide long non-coding RNA. RefSeq lists it as uncharacterized. Lineage: Eukaryota; Metazoa; Arthropoda; Arachnida; Ixodida; Ixodidae. The record is from RefSeq and is a predicted model, not a curated record.